This is a long non-coding RNA of Eucalyptus grandis, 890 nucleotides long. RefSeq lists it as uncharacterized. Lineage: Eukaryota; Viridiplantae; Streptophyta; Magnoliopsida; Myrtales; Myrtaceae. The record is from RefSeq and is a predicted model, not a curated record. The transcript has 3 exons.
ACUAGAUAGAGGAAAAUGGAUGACAUUCAAAGUGAAGUUUUUCAUCCACUUUACAGUUACUUUGGGAGUUGAUGCUUGGAAAUCUGAAGAAGGUAUUGAAAUUAGGGUACCUCCGUACGGCUAGAGGGUUCUUAAUUAUGUACAAAUGGUGUGCUUCUUAGUGGGAUUUGCAAAUGUUAUGGAGAUGCUAUAAAAUGAAGAGUGAGGAAUUUGCACUUGGGCAGCAAAGCUUCCAUCUGUGAUAGGAGAGAACUAUCCAGCUUCUCCAAGAAUAAUUCAUCUCCAAUGUCCUCAAAAGGAAAUUGACAUAAAUAAGUAAUGUUGAUGAAGGGAUCGAGACAAUUAAAGGUAGGCUUUUUAGUAAAGGAGUUCUCAUCCUUUUGAUGAUGUUGACCAGAAGAAUUAAUUGAAUGCACUCAUGGGUAACAUCAGUGAUAUUCAAGCAUUACUGAAUUCUUCAAUGCUGAAUAUCAAGCGCUGAAGGAUCUCGAAAUUCUCAGUGCUUUUUGUUUGUCAUUGAAUAUUAGUGCUUUUUGUUGAUAGAAGGCACUGCCAUCCUUAAUGUGAGUUGAUCGGGUUGAAAUAGUUCACAAAAAGGGACAUGUGUGAGCCCUCUUAUCUGGUCCAAAUGAUGCAAUGUCUGGCAUUGCUUAGAAGAUUCAACCAGUUCUUGAAAAAUUUAGAAGACAUGCUCAGCAUAGGAGUUCAUUUUCCAAUAAGAAGUGCAUGUAGUACUUGAAAGGUCCUGCAUCCACAACCAAGUCUAUUGUCAAGGAAGAUUUGAAACUUAAACAAAUUUCUCAUUGCCCUAUGUCAUCUCACAGAUAUUGAUUGUUGUCUUUCUUGGGAUCGUUAUCUGUUAUACAUAAAUUACAAUCACACUUUGGCAA